Molecule: transfer RNA, 64 nt
Filed under: Dipodomys ordii (Ord's kangaroo rat)
Lineage: Eukaryota; Metazoa; Chordata; Mammalia; Rodentia; Heteromyidae
Rfam family: tRNA
About the family: Transfer RNA (tRNA) molecules are approximately 80 nucleotides in length. Their secondary structure includes four short double-helical elements and three loops (D, anti-codon, and T loops).
Source: Rfam by way of RNAcentral
GGUGGCUCAGUGGUAGAGUGCUUGCCUCGCAUGCAUGAGGCCAGAGUUCGAUUCCUCAGCACCA